This 1027-nucleotide long non-coding RNA is filed under the name Astyanax mexicanus (Mexican tetra). RNAcentral's name for it is "lncRNA (ENSAMXG00005022084.1)". The record is from RNAcentral. Lineage: Eukaryota; Metazoa; Chordata; Actinopteri; Characiformes; Acestrorhamphidae.
GAUGCUGCAUGUGAUUGUGUGUGUGUGUGUGUGUGUGUGUGUGUAUGUAAGGUCCUACCUGGCUCCGGUGUGUGUGAGUGUCCCGCGUGCAGUAAUCCUGCCACAGCGAGCAGCGCGAGAGCCAACCCGGACAGCAGCAUGCCGGAGUGAGUGUGUGGAGCCUCGUGCCCCACUGCUCGCUCUAAUCCUCCACCUCGCUGCAGUGCUGCCAGGGCACUAGCAAUGCUCCCAAGGAGGGUGAAGACUUGCACAUGCCUCCUCCAACACAGCAUUAUGCUAGGAACGAUGUGGGGAGAGAGCGUCAUCUACCCACCCAGAGAGAGUAUGGCAGUAUCGUGCUCUCUCGGAAUCCAGCUGUUGAUGGCGAAACAGUCUCACCACAAAGCCUUGUUAGACUUUUUCAGAUGUUUAACCAAAAGGCUACUGAGAAGAAAUCUUCCCAGAUUUGGACCCUUAAACAGAACUUUACGGCCCAGGAGCUUCACUAGCGCUAAAGAAGCGCCUAAACAGACGCGCUCCAGCUUUCCCUCCUCAAACACGCAUAUAAAACAGAUGCACACACACUGCUGAUGUACCACGAUCCUCAUUGAGCUGACGACAGGCCUUUCCACCAGCUCACUGUAGUACAAACCCACCCCCCCUCUCCCCCACACCACCGAACUGAUGGAGAGCAGGAGAGAGAGCAUGCAGACAAAGAGGCUCAGCCACAGUGAAGCCAGGGAUGCUGUGAAUAGCUUUUAGUACAUGAGAGAGAGAGAGAGAAAUGAGAGAGAGAGAGAGAGAGAGAGAGAGAGAGAGAGAAAUAAGAGAGAAGGAUGUCUGUGUAGUGGCUCUCGACUGCCAUCUUCAGAUCAGCAGCUACAGUUCUGCACUAUAAUUAUACUAUACUAUAAUAACACUAUAAUAACUGACAUAGUAUUGACCUGCUUCUGUCAAAUAAGCAAACAUGUAUUGAAGGAACAAUAUGUAUUAGAUUUUCUGUAACUAACUAAUAAUUAAACGAUCACGAUGUGUCAUAAACAAUUAA